CCUACGGGUGGCAGCAGUGGGGGAUAUUGCACAAUGGAGGAAACUCUGAUGCAGCGACGCCGCGUGAGGGAAGACGGUCUUCGGAUUGUAAACCUCUGUCUUUGGGGAAGAAAAUGACGGUACCCAAAGAGGAAGCUCCGGCUAACUACGUGCAGCAGCCGCGGUAAUACGUAGGGAGCGAGCGUUGUCCGGAAUUACUGGGUGUAAAGGGAGCGUAGGCGGGCGAGAAAGUUGAAUGUUAAAUCUACCGGCUUAACUGGUAGCUGCGUUCAAAACUUCUUGUCUUGAGUGAAGUAGAGGCAGGCGGAAUUCCUAGUGUAGCGGUGAAAUGCGUAGAUAUUAGGAGGAACACCAGUGGCGAAGGCAGCUUACUAAACUGCCACUGACAUUGAUGCUCGAAAGUGUGGGUAUCAAACAGGAUUAGAUACCCUGGUAGUC
RNAcentral lists this ribosomal RNA (438 nucleotides) under uncultured bacterium. Its description in RNAcentral is "partial 16S ribosomal RNA". It matches the Rfam family "Bacterial small subunit ribosomal RNA", at positions 338 to 795 of the family's 1533-position model. The record is from RNAcentral.